CCUACGGGAGGCAGCAGUAGGGAAUAUUGGGCAAUGGACGGAAGUCUGACCCAGCCAUGCCGCGUGCAGGAAGAAGGUCCUCUGGAUUGUAAACUGCUUUAGACGGGGAAGAAUAAGGAUCAUGCGUGAUCUGAUGACGGUACCCGUAGAAUAAGCACCGGCUAACUACGUGCCAGCAGCCGCGGUAAUACGUAGGGUGCGAGCGUUGUCCGGAUUUAUUGGGUUUAAAGGGUGCGUAGGCGGGAGAGUAAGUUCGCUUUUAAAGCCGGCCGCUUAACGGUCAGGUAGGGGGUCGGAUACUGCUUUUCUUGAGAGGGCUCGGGGCUGGCGGAAUUUGUGGUGUAGCGGUGAAAUGCAUAGAUACCACAAGGAACACCGAUCGCGUAGGCAGCCAGCCAGGGCCUUUCUGACGCUGAGGCACGAAAGUGCGGGGAGCAAACAGGAUUAGAUACCCUGGUAGUCCGCACUGUAAACGAUGCAUACUCGGUGUCGGCUCGUUAGAGCCGGUGCCUGAGGGAACCGAUAAGUAUGCCACCUGGGGAGUACGCCGGCAACGGUGAAACCUUAAAGGAAUUGACGG
This 580-nucleotide ribosomal RNA is filed under the name uncultured bacterium. Its description in RNAcentral is "bacterial SSU rRNA". It matches the Rfam family "Bacterial small subunit ribosomal RNA", at positions 338 to 916 of the family's 1533-position model. The record is from RNAcentral.